This 4406-nucleotide unclassified non-coding RNA is filed under the name Neodiprion pinetum (white pine sawfly). RNAcentral's name for it is "putative protein PTGES3L, transcript variant X1". The record is from RNAcentral. Lineage: Eukaryota; Metazoa; Arthropoda; Insecta; Hymenoptera; Diprionidae.
GCGUGUAGUGCCGAGUCGGUAAGUCGGGAAGUAUGGGGCAUACUGUCCCCAUGGUUGACAGUCCUUUAUGUAAUUUUUAGUUACUGGUCGGGUCAACGUUUCCACCUAUCUACUUCCAUCGUGUGUCCAUCUCUUUAUAGAUAUCAGUAUCAUAGACAAAAAAAAGCAAAAAAUAUUAGAUACAUCAGCCCAGCCGCAGGCUGUCAACAAGUGUGAUUGAUGUUGGGAAUUGUAAACAAUACCCUGAUACCAUCAUCAUCAUCAUUUUUAAUUCAAAUAUAUUGACAGUUCUGCUUCUGCGGAUAACGGGACACGUGAUCAAACCUUGUUGCAUUUAGAUGGAUUGUCCAAUGUUAAUUGGCAAUUUGAGAAAGCCAAGAAUUUAUUGGUAUCAGACGGAUGCGGAAAUCGUGAUUCGUAUAAUGCUUCACGACGUGGACGAUUACUUUCUUAGCGUAAGAACAGACGAGUUUGAAUUCAGCACGUCUGUAGACGGCGUCGAUUACUAUAUUUACCUGCAUCUUUUUGGUGCAAUCACUGCCGAGAAAACUAUCCAUAAAACAACUGGAAGAGAAGUCACAGUUUACCUUCCAAAAGUUCAAAAGUGGACUCCCUGGCCAAGGUUAAUUUAUUCAAGCAAAGCAUGUCCACAUAUUUUUGUGGACCUUGAUCACCUUGCCUCAAUCAAACCCAAAAAAGAGAUUGAUUGGAAUGAGAGAGAAGACUUUGCUACCUUCAAACGAAGACAUAAUAUAUCCUAUAUAAGGCCAGAUGUACCAUCUUCGGAUGAAGAUGAAUCUGCUGGAGAGGAAAACAAUAUGAUUUUCGAUUUUUAACAUCUCUUGAAGUGGAUUAAUAGAACUAGGUUCCAAAUCUCAUUCUAAUGAGGUGUGAAGAGCAAUCUACUUGGAUUCAUUGAAGCAAACUAUUAAAAGGUACCAAAGUGUAAUUAACGAAUUUCCAUGGGUAAAUGAAAUGUUUCAUUAAUUACCUAGCUAAAUUCUUUUACUUGUAUAUGACGUUCGGCUGUUACUAAUACAGCAAAGCUUUAUUUACAGUUCACAGUUAUAUCUAACCUAUACGUUUUCUGAUCGAUCUGAGGUUAUUAGGGGGGAAUUAGUAGCCGGCGGACUCAACUUCUUUCAAAUAGAAUAAUGUGGUAAAUUUUAACACUUAUAAUCUUAUCCUGUCAACAUUGUCAUACCUUACCUUUAUUAACUUAGGGUGGCUGUUCAUUAAUUGUGGCCACCAGCUUCAGCCCGAUGAAUUGUGAAACUCUGAAACCGUUAUAAAUUAGGUAGAUUCGGUCAACUUUCGGCCUUUCUUUUCUCCGAGUUAAUUUGUGAUAUUCUCUGUUCAUCCCGUAAGUAAGAUUUUUUACCUAGUUAAAAGUUAAGAAUACAGCCCAGCUGUUGUAUUUUUUUUUUUUUUUUUUUUACAUUGUUUCUACGAAUAAAUGAAAAUUAUUAUCAAUAGCUGUAUGCAUGGUAGGCUUGCCCAUAAAUUACGUGAUGUGAGUUUUUACGACCCCCCCCCCCCCCCCCCCCCUCGCCCGUUCAAAAUUGGAGAAUUUAUCUCAAAUCAUUAUAAUUGGAGGUUGAGAAAUUGGAAGUUUUAAUGGAUUUUAUAGACAAGAAACAUGUGUAUGUGUGGUAAUAUCAGUGACAUGAUCAGCACACACAUGAGUUUUCAGAACGAAAAGUUUUAUUGGACCGUUCACCUAUAAUAUUGUGUAAUAGCUGUGGCACGUCGAUCUGGCCAAAUGUGAUACACAACGUGUCAGAUAAAUUACGCAAAAUAAAACUUGUGACGAAUGUUUUUAAUCUGUGAUCUAAAAAAGUGUAUCGAUGCAAGAAGACAUUGCUAUCAGUGAAUCGACAAUGAAAAUAACUAAGAAAACAGAUAAGGGACAAUAAUACCAGAGACGCUUAUCUUAUAAACAAUUUAAUCCAAGAAAACUAGUUAGAUAUGGUAUUAAAUUUUAUAAAUUAUGUGAUUCAGAAUCGGGUUAUUGCUGUGACUCUAAAAAAAUACUCAGGUAGUGAUAAAAUAAAUUCUAAUGACAGUGAUUCUGAAAAUGUUGUUAAAGAGCUAUCACAGUCAGUGUUACGUAAAGGACAUAUUUUAUACUUAGACAAUUGGUACACUGCACCAAAACUGGUUAUAACUAAUUAACAGUAAAACUAAUGCUGUCGGAACAGUAGAUUUGAACAGAAAGAAUAUGCCAAAUGAUUUGGUUGAAGCAAAAUUAAAAAAAGAAGAAUGCAGAACGAAAAGCUGCAAUGGAAUACUGACAUAAAAAUAUAAAUAUAAACGAGACAUUUAUAUUAUUUCUACGAAACACGAAACAGCAGAAAUGGCUGCAUAAGGCAAAAAUCAAUUCAAUCCUACUUCAAAACCAAAAGGUGUCAUUGAGUACAACAAAGGAAUGAUUGGACUUGAUCGACAAGACCAAAUGCUAGUGUGCUUCUCUGUUAUGAAGGAAUAUGCAAAAGGAUACUGAACAGUUUUUUUUUACAUGCUUGAUAUUGAACUUUUGAACUCUUACAUUUUGUCCAACAAAGUAAAUACUAGAGAAAAACAGAGCCACUCAUGCUAAGUAUGAAAUUGAAAUAGUCGAGUCAUUAAUGAAAAAUGUGCCGUUACCAGAAUAUAAACGAUGAGGGUGAUUUUUGAAUGGAGUUUUACCCCAGAGACUCCACACGCAACAUUGGGGUCAUUUUUUCAAGAAUAUAGACCCAACACCAUCGAAAACAAAGCCAUAAAGAGCCUGUAAAGUUUGUACAAGAUAUAAGUAAAAAAACGUAGCGAAACAACAUAGGAGUGCAAAAGAUUUAAAGUUACAUUGGAUGUACCAAUAUGCUUCGAAAGUUACCAUACAAUUGAAGCUUAAUAACUUUCUGUUACAUGUUUUUUAAAAUGUUUAUAAUUUAAUAUAAGCAUUUAUUCAGGAAUUUAAAUAAAAUGUUGUUGAUUUAUUAAUCUUUCUUUUUCACUGAUGAAUUGUUUGUAAUUAUUUAUCAAACACCUUAAGAAAUUAAACCGGUUGUAUCUUACACAUGUUUACAUAUCAUGAGACGUAUGCAAUUGGCAUAACUUCGAACAUUUAUCCAAACUGUAAAAUGGCUCAACGUGCAACCGACCUUGCUGUUUAUUAUAGCAUAGGCGAUCAGAACUUAAAUUGUAGGGCAAGGGGUUAAAUAUCGAUUUGAUUGAAAUGUUUACAUGCCUGUAUAUCAGGCGGAACUGCACAUCAUGAACCACCCGCUUUACUCUUUGCCUUCAUCCUUUUGCACAACUCGAGGAACGCUUGAUUUUUCAAUAAUUUGAAUCUUUUGUCAGUAGAACUAGAUGCAUAUUGUGCAUUCUCUGAAAGCAACGCUAAUUAUAGAGAACCCUUAAUUUGCUGUUCUCGUUGAUCUGUUCAGUCUCAUGAUGGCGAAAGGGUUAAAAUAUUGGGUGAUACACGUAUUUAGGUAUCAUUGCUACUACAUCAAAUAGAAAUAAAAUCUGGAAUGUUGAAAUUGUCUGUUCGAUUAAAAUCUAACGUCAUUGCAUGUGAAAUCUCAUGCAAAGAAUAGUGAUGAAAAAUAAAUCAACCUAGGGCGAUCUUUGUUUAAAAAAAAAGGAAAAAGUACAAAAGUGUAUUUUGUAAUAUAAAGUCAAGAUUUUGCCGUACGCGUGAUUCAAUCAUGUUCGUACGAAUUACGUAUGUACAUACGAUUUACUCAGACCUAUAUACAUCUAUGCACGUAUUAAUUAUACGCGUUGAAUAGAAAUUGAGAUAUUAAUCAGUUUGAUGCGCUUUGUGUGAAAUAUUAUUAGUAUUUUACAGAAUAUCGUCUGCUUCGUUUUUGACUAUUAUUUACAAGAUUAAAGCGAACUCUACGCAGUUUACUUGUCUUACAAAUCACCUGCAGACUAGUCGGCACCUUGCUUAAUUCACCAGCACUCUGUACAUCACGAAUAAAACGAUAAUGAAAUUUUCUUCCUUCGUUCUGAAAUAGUGAAUCUUUUAGCGUACCCACAGCAACGAACGGCAAUCACCGUCGAAUUAAUUAUUGCUACAUAAAGCUAACGAGAAGAACGGCACAGAUCAUAUCUACCACUGUCUACGAAUUCGUCUAUACCUUAGAUGUACGUAAAUUUGAACACACGGUUAAACGUUUACGGGUAAAGCGAAUUACCCGUUAAUCGUAUAGUCGUUGUACCUUCACUAUUAAGGCGGUCAGCCCAGUUAUUUGAACGAUAACUCGUUCCGGUUAGUCUAAUCAAUUACAAAUGUUAAAUUUCUAUAAUACAGCAUUUUUUAACAACCUUCCAGUGAAAGUCUUUGAUUUAUGUUUCCCACCCUAGUUUUUAUUUCCUUGAGGAUGUCCUCGGCCAGCUCAUCGACCGUGGUAUAG